This is a long non-coding RNA of Felis catus (domestic cat), 1823 nucleotides long. RefSeq lists it as uncharacterized. Lineage: Eukaryota; Metazoa; Chordata; Mammalia; Carnivora; Felidae. The record is from RefSeq and is a predicted model, not a curated record. The transcript has 2 exons.
GUGUCUCCCUCUCUCUCUGCCCCUUCCUUGCUCAUGCUGUGUCUCUCUCUGUGUCAAGAAUAAAUAAACAUUAAAACAAAUUAAAAAAGAAAAAAAAAGAAACCUUAAACAACCUUAGAGAACAUAAGAAUACUUGGUCUCCGGCAUGUAGGAAAAAAGAAACAAAGUGAUGAGGCAGGGGGUACAGAAAAAGUAGUAGAGAGCAACAAAGAAUUUUAACUAAUUUUCCUUUUUUUUUUUUAAGGGCUCUGGUAGCGUUUGGAAUUGUGCUGAUAUCUGAAUUGAGGAUUGAUUGAUAGUAAGGUUGCAGUACAAUCUCAUUUGCAUAGCAAAUAUGAGCACCUAGUAUGCCACAUGUACUGUACUAACUGGGAGUGUACCCUUGGCUGACAAGAUAUAAACCCUGCCUUUGUGGAGGAGAGCUUCUAGACUUUUAGAUAAGUAAUUAUAGCAAAGUGUAGUGUGUGCCAUUGGUGAAGUGCAGGAUGCCAUACACACACCUAAGAGAGGAAUCUAAUGGAAGGUUAAGGAAGGUUUCUUGUAUGAAAUGAUGUUCAUGUUGAGUCUCAAAGGAUGGAUAGAAAUUAGGUUAGGAUUAGGGAAAAGUAUUCUAGGUAGAAGGACAGAAUAUAUAAAAAGGCCUGGAAACAAGACAGAACAAUGUAUACUAAGGAAUUGGAAAAAAAAAAAAUCAGUAUGACCACAUCUUGAAGUGUAAGGAAGCCUAUAGUGAGAAACAAAUCGAAAAGGUAGGAAGAGACUGAGUUUUUUAAUCCAUGGUGAGAAGUUUAGACUUCUACACUAGAGUAGUAGGUAGCCACCGAAACCUUUUAAGUAGAGGAAUAUCAUGAUUUGUAGUUUAGAAAAACUCCCCCUAACUGUUGUAUGAAAAUGGGUUGUAAUAAGACAACUUUGGAGGCAAGAAGAUAUGUUAGCAAAUUUUUGUAGUAAUCUAAAGUAUAGUAUAGAGGUGGCUUGAAUUAAGGCUGUGAUACCAGGGAUAAUAAGAUGUGAAGGGAUUUGAAAGAUAUUUUAGGAAGCAAAUUGGCCUAAAACAUAGGGCUUAUUGUGCCACUGGAUGUGAAGGAUAAGACAAAUGGGAAGUGUCAAAGAUUCCUAGAUUUCUGACUUGGUUAAUUGGAUAUAUGGUGGUUUAUUCAUUAGGGAAUCAGAAGAGAAACUGGUUUCUCAGAAGAUGAGGGGUAGGACGAGGUUGUGGUGAGCGAUGGGGAAACAUCUAGAUAUUAAUUCUCUUUUGGACUUAAUGAAUUUGAAAUGCUUGAAAGGCAUGUGGAGGUUUUCUUACAUGCUUGUAUCAUGUGUUGGCUGCAUGCCCAAGUACCAGAGCUGGAGAAAUUGACAAGACCUAGGAUCUGAAAUCCUGGACUUACUAGCUGUUUUGCCACGAUUGGUUCAUCAUCCAACUUUCCUAAUUCAGUUAAUAUAUCUUAAUAAAAAACAUUUUCAGGGGCUUGUAAUUUAUGUGACAGAUUUUUAAAUCCCAUUUUACCACUUUUUUUCACUUUGGAAUAUUUUUUAAAGUAAGGUUUUUAAAUUUAGCUUCCUUGAGGUAUAAUUUAUAUAAAAUAUAGUAUGGUUCAUCCAUUUCAAGAGAAGAGUUUUACAAAUGCAUACGGUCUUGUGACCACUCUUACAACUAACAUGGAACAUUUCCAUCACAUCCUAAAUGCCAGCCCCUGGCAAUUGCCAAUUUGCUUUCUAAUACUGAAAUUCUGCCCUUGCCAGGAUGUCAUAUAAAUAGUAUCAUAUGCUUUGUAGUUUUUUCGGGCUUCUUUCACUUAAAAUAAUGCUUUUGAGAUUUA